UACGGAGGGUGCAAGCAUUAAUCGGAUUUAUUGGGCGUAAAGGGCGCGUAGGCGGGGAUGAAAGUCAGAUGUGAAAUCCCGGGGCUCAACCUCGGAACUGCAUUUGAAACUCCAUUUCUUGAGGGUGGGCGGAGAAAACAGAAUUCCACGUGUAGCGGUGAAAUGCGUAGAUAUGUGGAAGAAUACCGGUGGCGAAGGCGGUUUUCUAGCUUACACCUGACGCUGAGGCGCGAAAGCAAGGGGAU
Molecule: ribosomal RNA, 245 nt
Filed under: uncultured bacterium
Lineage: Bacteria
Description: partial 16S ribosomal RNA
Rfam family: Bacterial small subunit ribosomal RNA
Source: RNAcentral